Molecule: unclassified non-coding RNA, 930 nt
Filed under: Hevea brasiliensis (rubber tree)
Lineage: Eukaryota; Viridiplantae; Streptophyta; Magnoliopsida; Malpighiales; Euphorbiaceae
Source: RNAcentral
ACACUUAAUGUUCUUAACUCAUGUGCAAAGGUCCCAUCAAUCAAACGAGUUGUCUUGACAUCAUCAGUUGCUGCAGUUGCUUACAAUGGAAAACCUCGGACUCCAGAGGUAGUAGUGGAUGAAACUUGGUUUUCUGAUCCGGACUUCUGUAAGGAAUCAAAGCUUUGGUAUUUGCUCUCAAAGACCUUGGCUGAGGAUGCUGCAUGGAAAUUUGCAAAAGAGAAGGGCAUAGACCUGGUUGUCAUAAAUCCAGCAAUGGUGAUUGGUCCUCUCCUACAACCAACGCUUAAUACAAGUUCUGCUUCAAUUUUAAGCUUGGUAAAAGGAGCACACACUUUCCCCAAUGCAACUUUUGGAUGGGUAAAUGUUAAAGAUGUUGCCAAUGCACAUAUUCAAGCAUUAGAGAUUCCGUCAGCAAAUGGACGAUACUGUUUGGUUGAGAGAGUUGCACACUACUCAGAGGUAGUGAAUAUGUUGCGAGAGCUUUACCCAGAUUUCCAACUUCCAGAAAAGUGUGUGGACGAUAAACCUUAUGUGCCAACAUAUCAGGUGUCCAAGGAAAAAGCAAAAGGCCUGGGUAUUGACUUCAUACCCUUGGAUGUGAGCUUAAAGGAAACAGUUGAGAGCUUAAAGGAGAAAGGAUUUAUCAUAUUUUGAGCAUUUUCUUUUGUUGAUAAAUAAACAUGGAACCUGGAACUUGUGUUGGCCCUGUGGUCUUGGUUUGGUGACUUUUGAAAUAUGGUUUACAUUUUGUAAGCUUGUAUAAAUGGAACUAUUGUCUCUUUAGCUGCGUUGUUUUCAGAUGAUGAAACCUGAAAUCUCAAUAUGAGGUUUUUAUGCCGAAUAGUAGUGGGUAAUAUGUAAUGAGUGUUGUAUGAAUUUUGCUAAAUCAAAGUGGGAAAGGAAAUUGAGUCCUUUCAGUAUAAACCC